UGCUUUGGUUGCAGUACAUACAAUGCAGAUUUUGAUGGUGAUGAGAUGAAUGUGCAUUUUCCACAAGAUGAGAUUUCACGUGCUGAGGCCUACAAUAUUGUCAAUGCUAACAACCAAUAUGCUAGGCCUUCUAAUGGCGAGCCACUUCGAGCUUUAAUUCAGGUUUAACUUCCAUGCUAUUUCUUCAAACCUUUA
Molecule: small nuclear RNA, 195 nt
Organism: Arabidopsis thaliana (thale cress)
Lineage: Eukaryota; Viridiplantae; Streptophyta; Magnoliopsida; Brassicales; Brassicaceae
Source: RefSeq